GAUGAACGCUGGCGGCGUGCCUAAUACAUGCAAGUCGAGCGAACAGAUGAGGAGCUUGCUCCUCUGACGUUAGCGGCGGACGGGUGAGUAACACGUGGAUAACCUACCUAUAAGACUGGGAUAACUUCGGGAAACCGGAGCUAAUACCGGAUAAUAUAUUGAACCGCAUGGUUCAAUAGUGAAAGACGGUUUUGCUGUCACUUAUAGAUGGAUCCGCGCCGCAUUAGCUAGUUGGUAAGGUAACGGCUUACCAAGGCAACGAUGCGUAGCCGACCUGAGAGGGUGAUCGGCCACACUGGAACUGAGACACGGUCCAGACUCCUACGGGAGGCAGCAGUAGGGAAUCUUCCGCAAUGGGCGAAAGCUUGACGGAGCAACGCCGCGUGAGUGAUGAAGGUCUUCGGAUCGUAAAACUCUGUUAUUAGGGAAGAACAAAUAUGUAAGUAACUAUGCACGUCUUGACGGUACCUAAUCAGAAAGCCACGGCUAACUACGUG
Molecule: ribosomal RNA, 497 nt
Filed under: uncultured bacterium
Lineage: Bacteria
Description: partial 16S ribosomal RNA
Rfam family: Bacterial small subunit ribosomal RNA
Source: RNAcentral